This is a long non-coding RNA of Anopheles arabiensis, 853 nucleotides long. RefSeq lists it as uncharacterized. The transcript has 2 exons. NCBI's taxonomy places the organism in Eukaryota, Metazoa, Arthropoda, Insecta, Diptera, Culicidae. The record is from RefSeq and is a predicted model, not a curated record.
UAUUAUUUUGUUAAAAUAGCAUAUCAAAUAUCUCAAACCAGUUAAAAUAUAGUGAAAUGUUGUACCGGACACACGUUGCUUUGAAGAAAACGUAAAAUCAAACAUAUGAAGAUGAUGAACAUCUUCCCUAACUAAUAGUUGAUGUACAGCCUCUAGAGGGUGAUUCUUUCUCCGUCACAGAUAUCAACAAAAAAUGAAGCAGCGUUUAACGAUGAAGAAGAUACCCAGUUGUGCGAUAACCAUUAACGUUGAAAAUCAAGAGGAAUACAUGGAUUGAAAACACUUAAAGAGAAUAUGCAUCGAGUCGAAUUUAAAACGGAAAAUAAUGGUCUACAAAAAGCGAAAAUAAUGGCAAAGGAAACGAGUGUGGCUGGGCCGCAAUACCAUCCAAUAUUUCAUGAAAGGCCAUGUUUUGGAUUGCCAUGAUUGUUAGCAAUGGCGGAUUAAGACGAAUGGAGGCCCUAAGCGGUCACACAAAAGUAGUGGCUUGGUUGAAGCGUCUAGCAGGGGAUUGUAUCAAAUAUCCCAACCAGAGAAAGAUUGAGUAGCAAUUAUGCUUGUGAGCGGAUGGUAGGUGCCAUUUUUGGGGCCCCUGGCCGACCCAGAUGUUCGACGCUUAAACAUCUAAAUACACAUUAAAACUGAAGGAAAUACACAUCUAAUCAAUUACUUUAAAAAAUAAUAUAAUUGUAUUGAUUCGUGAUGUAUUUUGUAGUUUUGACCUGCAUGCACAAUUCUAAAAUAUUCCUAUGAAUCACAGAAAGGCCUAAAGCCUAAAAGCCUGCCUUAUAAGCUUGAAAAUUACACGUGGCAAAGAACCCUAAAAAAGCUGAAUAAAAUCACGUGCUUUUAA